GAUUUCUGGUUUGUCACACUAGCCCAGAAAAAUUAGAGUGUUUAAAGCAGGCUUACGCUGUGAAUACAUUAGCAUGGAAUAAUAAUAUAGGACUUUGUUUCUAUUUUGUUGGUUUCUAGGAAUGAAGUAAUGAUUGAUAGGGAUAGUUGGGGGUGCUAGUAUUCAGCGGCCAGAGGUGAAAUUCUCGGAUUCGCUGAAGACUAACUUAUGCGAAAGCAUUCACCAAGGAUGUCUUCUUCUGUCUCUUAUACA
This 252-nucleotide ribosomal RNA is filed under the name Cercomonadida environmental sample. RNAcentral describes it as "partial 18S ribosomal RNA". The stretch from base 28 to 239 matches the Rfam family "Eukaryotic small subunit ribosomal RNA", at positions 761 to 974 of the family's 1831-position model. The record is from RNAcentral. Lineage: Eukaryota; Cercozoa; Cercomonadida.